This 1144-nucleotide ribosomal RNA is filed under the name uncultured fungus. Its description in RNAcentral is "eukaryotic LSU rRNA". The stretch from base 522 to 1144 matches the Rfam family "Eukaryotic large subunit ribosomal RNA", at positions 1 to 649 of the family's 3401-position model. The record is from RNAcentral. Lineage: Eukaryota; Fungi.
AGUCGUAACAAGGUCUCCGUAGGUGAACCUGCGGAGGGAUCAUUACCGAGCGAGGGCCUCGCGCCCGACCUCCAACCCUUUGAAGUGACCAACUCUGUUGCCUUGGGGGCGACCCGGCCCCCGUGCCGGGGCCCCCAACGGACCACACAAACCCUGCGUUUUCNCGUCGGAGUUUAAAGGAAAUCAAUUAAAACUUUCAACAACGGAUCUCUUGGUUCUAGCAUCGAUGAAGAACGCAGCGAAAUGCGAUAAGUAAUGUGAAUUGCAGAAUUCAGUGAAUCAUCGAAUCUUUGAACGCACAUUGCGCCCCUUGGUAUUCCGGGGGGCAUGCCCGUUCGAGCGUCAUGUAAAACCCUCAAGCCUGGCUUGGUAUUGGGUCCAGGGACCAUCCCGGACCUCAAAUGCGUUGGCUAUUGAUUAGUAAAUGGGAGUGCUGUAGCAGCCGCCGUAACCACUUACUGGCGCGAAGCUUGUACGACCUGCCUUACGCGUUCGCAUCGGUCACGCACCGAACACAAGUUUGACCUCGGAUCGGGUAGGAAUACCCGCUGAACUUAAGCAUAUCAAUAAGCGGAGGAAAAGAAACCAACAGGGAUUGCCCUAGUAACGGCGAGUGAAGCGGCAACAGCUCAAAUUUGAAAUCUGGCGUAAGCCCGAGUUGUAAUUUGGAGAGGAUGCCUUGGGGUAGCGGCCGGUCUAAGUUUCUUGGAACAGGACGUCGCAGAGGGUGAGAAUCCCGUACGCGACCGGCUGGCACCCCGCACGAGGCUCCUUCGAUGAGUCGAGUUGUUUGGGAAUGCAGCUCUAAACGGGAGGUAAAUUUCUUCUAAAGCUAAAUACCGGCUAGAGACCGAUAGCGCACAAGUAGAGUGAUCGAAAGAUGAAAAGCACUUUGGAAAGAGAGUUAAAAAGCACGUGAAAUUGUUGAAAGGGAAGCGCUUGCAACCAGACUUGUCGGCGGUGUUCCGCCGGUCUUUUGACCGGUCCACUCGCCGCCGACAGGCCAGCAUCGUCUGGGGCCGCCGGAUAAAGGCGUAGGGAAUGUAGCUCCCUCGGGAGUGUUAUAGCCCUUCGCACAAUACGGUGAGUCCCGGGCGAGGUCCGCGCUUCGGCAAGGAUGCUGGCGUAAUGGUCGUAAGCGGCC